UACAGAGGUCUCAAGCGUUGUUCGGAUUCAUUGGGCGUAAAGGGCGCGUAGGCGGUGCGGUAAGUCACCUGUGAAACCUCUAGGCUCAACCUAGAGCCUGCAGGCGAAACUGCCGUGCUUGAGGGUGGGAGAGGUGCGUGGAAUUCCCGGUGUAGCGGUGAAAUGCGUAGAUAUCGAGAGGAACACCUGCGGCGAAGGCGGGUUGCUGGGCUGACACUGACGCUGAUGUGCGAAAGCUAGGGGAGCGAACGGG
This 253-nucleotide ribosomal RNA is filed under the name uncultured bacterium. RNAcentral describes it as "partial 16S ribosomal RNA". It matches the Rfam family "Bacterial small subunit ribosomal RNA", at positions 524 to 776 of the family's 1533-position model. The record is from RNAcentral.